GUGGUUCCUGCUCUUUGGGGUGGCAGGUACACUUCUUGCUAAAACAAAUCAUCUCGGUGUCUUUGAUUUUCCUUCUGUCCCUUAGGCUAUUGCUUUUGGAAGGGGGCCCUGGAUCUCCCUCCUGUUUGCUUGGGGGUAAACACAUGGUAUCAUGGGGUUAUGAACACAUGUUGCCUGUGCCAGAUAGCAACACUGCCUCCAGUCUUGAAAAUAAAGGUCCCCUGAAGACCUUGCCAAAGUGUGACAUCACCCUGGAGAAACUCAAGAAUGACAUGGCAGUGGUGAGUGGGAUGCUGGGGACCCCUAGGGGAACUGGGGCUCCCCCAAGAGCUCCUGGGAGCACCACAGCAGGGUCCUUCCAGGUCAGGGCGGCUGGGUGGGGACUGGGCCUGACCUGAGACCCUGCCCACCAGGCCUCCUCCAGGCCAGGUUUGCUGUGCUGGGUGGGAACAUGGGAGAGGUCACCCUCUGUCUACGGCCCCCAUGGGUGCCUCUGCCACCCGGCCCAGAGGAGUCAGGGGCUGUGGGGGUGGGGGAUUACACCAGGAUCGGCCAGCAUUGUCUGCACAAGGGUGGAGGCUGAGAGAGAGGCGUUGGGAAUCAGGCUGUGAGUGAGGACGGGCCUGGGGUGGGAAGGCCCCCUAAAUGAAGAACCCUCGGGUCCUGGGCUGCUGACCGUGCCCAUCUUGCCUCCAACCCACUGCCCCGGUGCCGCUGACCAAACAGCAGCACCUGUGCCAGCAGCUCCUGGAUGCCAUCCUGGCCAACAUCUGCUCACCUGUCUUCAGCCAUUCCCUGCGC
This 801-nucleotide long non-coding RNA is filed under the name Macaca nemestrina (pig-tailed macaque). RNAcentral describes it as "lncRNA (ENSMNEG00000045924.1)". The record is from RNAcentral. Lineage: Eukaryota; Metazoa; Chordata; Mammalia; Primates; Cercopithecidae.